AAGUGGUAUUUAAUUUUUAUAAAACAAUCAUUUUACAGAAAACACAUUAAUUUAACAGAAAAAACAUUAAUUUAACAGAAAAAACGAUGAGACAUGCUUCAAAAAUAUAUAUAUAAAUUGAUAAGAUCAGACAUUAUAUUAAAUUAAUAAAAACGAACUGAAGUAACCAUAAACUGCCCAAAUUUAACCUAAACCAAGGUCUAAUUAUCUAAUGG
Molecule: unclassified non-coding RNA, 215 nt
Filed under: Hevea brasiliensis (rubber tree)
Lineage: Eukaryota; Viridiplantae; Streptophyta; Magnoliopsida; Malpighiales; Euphorbiaceae
Source: RNAcentral